This is a non-coding RNA of Paramuricea clavata, 680 nucleotides long. NCBI's taxonomy places the organism in Eukaryota, Metazoa, Cnidaria, Anthozoa, Malacalcyonacea, Plexauridae. The record is from the annotation of a GenBank genome assembly.
UUUACAAAUAAUUAAGGAAGCAGAGGCAUAGAACGAAGCUUUGACUUUGGACGAGAACGCUGCGAAUGAUGUAGUUUCGAUAACAAAUUGUCAAAGACGGCGAAAAGGAAGCAAAAUUCCGGCGCAUCCUCAUCGACGUCAAAAAAACAAAAUAAAUGCUCUUGGUCAGCCGAACAUGUCGAAAAACUGUUGUGUUGGACUAUAUCAAGGAAUACAUUACGCUUAUUUACGCAAUGCGAGUAAUAGACCACAACAUUGAAAGAACAGACCACGAUAUUGAAAUAACCUCGGAAAUAACAGACCACAACAUUGAAAUGCAGCAAGCAAAGGCCCAAUAAAUAGCAUUACACAACUUGCCGCUAAAACUUUGCGUUUCGACGCCAUUUAUCUAAUACAGACUGCUUAGCGACCACGUAUAGGUAGGGUUACCCUAUCCGGCAACAUAGCCCUAGCAGUAGGGUCACCCUACCUCAUGUAAACGCUCGGUAUUUUCUGACCCGCUUGCUAGGGUAACCCUCCUGAUAGGGUCACCCUACCUCCAUGUAAACAGGCCCUUAGAUGUGAAUCCUUUUUGAAUAUUAUGUUCUAUAGAGUUCGGAAUGAAUACAUAGCGUUAUAUAGGCAGGCAGGAAUUAAAAAUUAAUGGUAUGGUCUCCAGUGUGAUGGGUCGGAAAUUGGAC